CAGGCAGUAGCUCAGUAGUAGAGCUCCCGCUUCGAUUGUGGGAAGACUUGGGUUGGAUUCCCGGCUGUUUAG
Molecule: transfer RNA, 72 nt
Filed under: Toxocara canis (dog roundworm)
Lineage: Eukaryota; Metazoa; Nematoda; Chromadorea; Rhabditida; Toxocaridae
Rfam family: tRNA
About the family: Transfer RNA (tRNA) molecules are approximately 80 nucleotides in length. Their secondary structure includes four short double-helical elements and three loops (D, anti-codon, and T loops). Further hydrogen bonds mediate the characteristic L-shaped molecular structure. tRNAs have two regions of fundamental functional importance: the anti-codon, which is responsible for specific mRNA codon recognition, and the 3' end, to which the tRNAs corresponding amino acid is attached (by aminoacyl-tRNA synthetases). tRNAs cope with the degeneracy of the genetic code in two manners: having more than one tRNA (with a specific anti-codon) for a particular amino acid; and 'wobble' base-pairing, i.e. permitting non-standard base-pairing at the 3rd anti-codon position.
Source: Rfam by way of RNAcentral